UGAGGGCACGGGAAGUGCUGGGUAGUGUGUUGGGCUUUGAUGUGUGACCAUCCCUUCCACAGCCACAGCCUGGACAGUCCUGAAAUGUGCAAACCUGCCACAGUCAUGAACAAAUAGGUUUCAAAGUCAUGCCUGGGAAGAACACUCGACGCAAAAAAGACGAAGGGAAGGGACAGGAAUACCUUCUCGGAGGUUCAGGGAUGCACCUCAGAGAUCCCAGUUUGAGACCACCAUCCUCUGUGACAUCCAUAAGCCAAUGACAAGACAAGAUCACCAA
This 277-nucleotide long non-coding RNA is filed under the name Mustela putorius furo (domestic ferret). Its description in RNAcentral is "lncRNA (ENSMPUG00000028634.1)". Lineage: Eukaryota; Metazoa; Chordata; Mammalia; Carnivora; Mustelidae. The record is from RNAcentral.